Molecule: ribosomal RNA, 460 nt
Filed under: uncultured bacterium
Lineage: Bacteria
Description: partial 16S ribosomal RNA
Rfam family: Bacterial small subunit ribosomal RNA
Source: RNAcentral
CCUACGGGAGGCAGCAGUGAGGAAUAUUGGUCAAUGGGCGCGAGCCUGAACCAGCCAAGUCGCGUGAGGGAUGAAGGUUCUAUGGAUCGUAAACCCCUUUUAUAAGGGAAUAAAGUGUGGGACGUGUCCUAUUUUGUAUGUACCUUAUGAAUAAGGAUCGGCUAACGCCGUGCCAGCAGCCGCGGUAAUAAGGAGGAUCCGAGCGUGAUCCGGAUUUAUUGGGUUUAAAGGGUGCGUAGGCGGCCUUUUAAGUCAGCGGUGAAAGUCUGUGGCUCAACCAUAGAAUUGCCGUUGCAACUGGGGGGCUUGAGUAUGUUUGAGGCAGGCGGAAUGCGUGGUGUCGCGGUGAAAAGCUUAGAUAUCACGCAGAACCACGAUUGCGAAGGCAGCCUGCCAAGCCAUGACUGACGCUGAUGCACGAAAGCGUGGGGAUCAAACAGGAUUAGAUACCCUAGUAGUC